This 292-nucleotide ribosomal RNA is filed under the name uncultured Acidobacteriota bacterium. RNAcentral describes it as "uncultured Acidobacteria bacterium partial 16S ribosomal RNA". Lineage: Bacteria; Pseudomonadati; Acidobacteriota. The record is from RNAcentral.
GGACUACUGGGGUAUCUAAUCCUGUUUGCUACCCACGCUUUCGCGCAUCAGCGUCAGAACCGGUCCAGGUAGCCGCCUUCGCCACUGGUGUUCCUCCCAAUAUCUACGCAUUUCACCGCUACACUGGGAAUUCCACUACCCUCUCCCGGCCUCAAGCCCGACAGUUUCAAAGGCAGUUCCUCAGUUGAGCCGAGGGAUUUCACCUUUGACUUACCGGGCCGCCUACGCGCCCUUUACGCCCAAUAAUUCCGAAUAACGCUCGCCCCCUCCGUAUUACCGCGGCUGCUGGCAC